This 760-nucleotide ribosomal RNA is filed under the name Limosilactobacillus vaginalis. RNAcentral describes it as "bacterial SSU rRNA". It matches the Rfam family "Bacterial small subunit ribosomal RNA", at positions 50 to 782 of the family's 1533-position model. Lineage: Bacteria; Bacillati; Bacillota; Bacilli; Lactobacillales; Lactobacillaceae. The record is from RNAcentral.
CGCACAUGGCCCAACUGAUAUGACGUGCUUGCACUGAAUUGACGUUGGAUUACCAGUGAGCGGCGGACGGGUGAGUAACACGUGGGCAACCUGCCCUGAAGCGGGGGAUAACAUCUGGAAACAGGUGCUAAUACCGCAUAACAACGAAAACCACAUGGUUUUCGUUUCAAAGAUGGUUUCGGCUAUCACUUCAGGAUGGGCCCGCGGUGCAUUAGCUAGUUGGUAAGGUAACGGCUUACCAAGGCAAUGAUGCAUAGCCGAGUUGAGAGACUGAUCGGCCACAAUGGAACUGAGACACGGUCCAUACUCCUACGGGAGGCAGCAGUAGGGAAUCUUCCACAAUGGGCGCAAGCCUGAUGGAGCAACACCGCGUGAGUGAAGAAGGGUUUCGGCUCGUAAAGCUCUGUUGUUGGAGAAGAACGUGCGUGAGAGUAACUGUUCACGCAGUGACGGUAUCCAACCAGAAAGUCACGGCUAACUACGUGCCAGCAGCCGCGGUAAUACGUAGGUGGCAAGCGUUAUCCGGAUUUAUUGGGCGUAAAGCGAGCGCAGGCGGUUGCUUAGGUCUGAUGUGAAAGCCUUCGGCUUAACCGAAGAAGGGCAUCGGAAACCGGGCGACUUGAGUGCAGAAGAGGACAGUGGAACUCCAUGUGUAGCGGUGGAAUGCGUAGAUAUAUGGAAGAACACCAGUGGCGAAGCGGCUGUCUGGUCUGCAACUGACGCUGAGGGCUCGAAAGCAUGGGUAGCGAACAGGAUUAGU